CGCGGCCCCACGGAGAGGGGCUGCGGGAACCGGGACUGCGGCCCUCCCCGAGCUGAGGGCAGUUGGAGACACGGAGAGUUUGUUUGCACAAACAAGCGCGGAGGGAGAAGUCGAGAGGCGGCUGUUAGCUGGUACGCAAACAUACAAACUGAGACCCACAGCCUAUGGGGUGUUGCAUGGCUCUCCUAAAAUGCUAAGCCCUGUCAUAAACACCCAUCGUUUUGCAACAUUAGAUGCCUUGGCUGAUGCUGAAGAAUCCAUGAAACAUGAGACCAGCAACUGAAGGAACAGUCUGCUUUUGCUGAGAGUGGAAAUGCCUCUGUUGAAAUGAUCUUGUGGAAAUAGGAAGAUGCAAGAAGAAAAUGUUCAAGUAGUCCGUAAAGCCUGCACACUGCUACAAACAGAAAGAAAGUUCACAAAAGAAAAUAAGAGCUGGAGGAUAGUGAUUGAUCUGUAUCAUAUGCUGUCCUCAUGUGGACUUAGUUCCAGUCUUUCCAGGGUUGUUUUUAUUUUUUUGCAACAAUUGCAUUAGCUGCCAUCCCCAAAGAGGAGUUUUUCCAGCUAUAAAUGAGGUUAAAUGUGAAAAGUAAGAAAAGGAAGAUGCUGAAGAUGUGCCUGUGUUACUACAGCACUUCGAAAAGGUAAUAUAAGCUAAAGCUUUGGAGGCAGUGAACAAUGGCUUCAGUCAGAGUAAAGAAGCUCCAAUCAGGCUCUCAGGAGGAAGAUAACUGAGGCAUCACCUAACUGGAGAAAGAGCCAGAAAGGGCAAAUCUCUUUGCAAGGACAAUUUAUGGAGUACAUUGAAAAAUGAUGGCUGUCUUUCACAGAAAUAUUAUAAAAAUUGUAUUAAAAAGUAUGCACAAGCAUGUCAAUUUUACCUUUUAAUUUCUCUCUCUUAGCUCAUCCACAUGUUCCCACCUCUUGUAUUUUCCUUUGUGCAGAGCAUCUUCAUUUCAACAGUGUCUGUGAAACUCUUCUUUCACUCCCAAGCAUUUCCAGCAGAACCCAGCACAGUGUGACUCACAUGUGAUAUCCAGCUCAGCCCUGCCAAGGGAUGGGGACCCUGGCCAGGCUGCUUUGUUACCAAGGAUGGCUGCAAAGUUAUCACUCAAAUCACCCCCCCCCCCUCCUCCUCUGUUGCCUGAGAUGUUCAUGUUUCUAUGGAAGAGCCAAUUCCCUUAGUCCCUAUUUUCAGGUUUGUGCUAGCAGCCCCUAAGAAUUCACAUUGAAGAUGGAGGGAAAAGGACAUCAGUCAAGGUGAAGGUCUGCAUAGGCAAACCAGAGUUUUGGCAUUAAAUGGAGUUCAUUGGCCAGUACUACCAUAGGGACUGCAGACAUGGAUUUUUUGAGCAGUGCAGAUUGUCACAAGAGUCCUAAAUAUGAUCCUUUUUCUAUUUGCUUAUUUUUGAAGUACCUCAAAUUUUUUAGCUGAAGCAAGGAUCAGUUGCAUUUUAUGAACUUGUUCCCCUUCAGUGUUGAAUCUUGUAUACAGAGGAAUGAAAUGGCAGAGGGACACCAAGCACAGUAUCUGGAAAGACUGCUUGAAAACCUCUACAAACCAGAAUGAGCUUUAGGUGAAGUGUCUAAGUGAAUGUAGCCUUCUUCAGGAUUGCAAAGGGCAUUGCCAUCCAGAAAUUUUGGCCUCACUUGUCUGCAAGCUAAUUCUGAUUCUAGAAGGGCCCUGGCCCUCACAGCACGACUCCGCCUUGGUUCACCAUCCUUCAUAAGCAGCAGGAGUUUUAUUUGCAUUAAUUGUCUGCUUGCUCCCCUGGCAAUACCCUUCUCAAUCAUUCAGUGUAAGGGCAUUUUUACAGGAUACUGCAUUGUGCUGUACAAAUAUAACCUUUAAAUUUAAUGCCAUUUUAAAAAAUAAAUUUAACUGCUUAAUAAUUGCCAAAAUGACAUUUAGCUUUUGCUUUUUGUUUUGAAAUAUAAAUACUUGUUUCAAUUCCAUACUCCAGUAAGAAAUACACUAUUUUUAAUAGGCUCAAACACACCAUUAAACUAUUUUACAUGUUACCACAG
Molecule: long non-coding RNA, 2025 nt
Organism: Melospiza melodia melodia
Lineage: Eukaryota; Metazoa; Chordata; Aves; Passeriformes; Passerellidae
Exons: 5
Source: RefSeq, a predicted model, not a curated record